GACGAACGCUGGCGGCGUGCUUAACACAUGCAAGUCGAACGGAAAGGCCUGCUUUCCCUUGUGGAUUGCGGGUACUCGAGUGGCGAACGGGUGAGUAACACGUGAGUGAUCUGCCCCCAACUUGGGUAUAAGCCUGAGAAACUGGGUCUAAUUCCCGAUAGGACUGCAGGGUGGUGCCUGUGGUGGAAAACGAUUUUCUAGUGGUUGGGGAUGAGCUCGCGGCCUAUCAGCUUGUUGGUGGGGUAAUGGCCUACCAAGGCGGCGACGGGUAGCCGGCCUGAGAGGGUGGACGGCCACAUUGGGACUGGGAUACGGCCCAGACUCCUACGGGAGGCAGCAGUGGGGAAUAUUGCACAAUGGGCGGAAGCCGGAUGCAGCGACGCCGCGUGGGGAUGACGGCCUUCGGGUUGUAAACUCCUUUCGACCGCGAGGAAGCCACCUGGUUGGAAGGGUGGUGACGGUAGUGGUAGAAGAAGCACCGGCUAACUACGUG
This 493-nucleotide ribosomal RNA is filed under the name uncultured bacterium. RNAcentral's name for it is "partial 16S ribosomal RNA". It matches the Rfam family "Bacterial small subunit ribosomal RNA", at positions 28 to 507 of the family's 1533-position model. The record is from RNAcentral.